Molecule: long non-coding RNA, 278 nt
Filed under: Lathyrus oleraceus (garden pea)
Lineage: Eukaryota; Viridiplantae; Streptophyta; Magnoliopsida; Fabales; Fabaceae
Description: Pisum sativum (pea) long non-coding RNA (PSAT_LNC002062)
Source: RNAcentral
UAAAAUUUGCAAAGUGAGGUAAGCAGCUGCAUGGGCGCGCCUAGGCCCAUCAAAUGAUUGCUAAAAGUCCAAAUUUGAAGUUCAGAUAUGUUGAAGCAAGCUUGGAAUGCAAGGAAAUUGAGAAUUUGAAAUUGAAGUUUGAUCCAUGACACAUGAUACCAGUCAGUUUAAGCCAUGCGCAGCCUAUGAAUUUUAGCUAUUUGGAAAGGUGAGAUUAAGAGGAACAAGUUUGAUGUUGAACAAUUUUUCAUUUGGAGGUUGGAACUUGGAGAUAUUUG